This 185-nucleotide ribosomal RNA is filed under the name Panus conchatus. Its description in RNAcentral is "partial large subunit ribosomal RNA". It matches the Rfam family "Eukaryotic large subunit ribosomal RNA", at positions 895 to 1100 of the family's 3401-position model. The record is from RNAcentral. Lineage: Eukaryota; Fungi; Basidiomycota; Agaricomycetes; Polyporales; Panaceae.
AAAUCGAGAAAUUUGGGUAUAGGGAAGCUAAUCGAACAUCUGUAGCUGGUUCCUGGAAGUUUCCCUCAGGAUAGCAAACUCAUGUCAGAUUUAUGUGGUAAAGGAAUGAUUAGAGGCCUUGGGGUUGAAACAACCUUAACCUAUUCUCAAACUUUAAAUAUGUAAACGAGCCGUCUUAAUUGGAC